RNAcentral lists this non-coding RNA (22 nucleotides) under Arabidopsis thaliana (thale cress). Lineage: Eukaryota; Viridiplantae; Streptophyta; Magnoliopsida; Brassicales; Brassicaceae. The record is from RNAcentral.
UUAUUGGGUUUCUUUCCAAAAU